UACAGAGGGUGCAAGCGUUGUUCGGAAUUAUUGGGCGUAAAGCGCGUGUAGGCGGUCUGAUUAGUUUGAUGUGAAAGCCCUGGGCUCAACCCAGGAAGUGCAUUGGAUACUGUCAGACUUGAAUACGGGAGAGGGUAGUGGAAUUCCUAGUGUAGGAGUGAAAUCCGUAGAUAUUAGGAGGAACACCGGUGGCGAAGGCGGCUACCUGGACCGAUAUUGACGCUGAGACGCGAAAGCGUGGGUAGCAAACAGG
This 253-nucleotide ribosomal RNA is filed under the name uncultured bacterium. RNAcentral's name for it is "partial 16S ribosomal RNA". It matches the Rfam family "Bacterial small subunit ribosomal RNA", at positions 524 to 776 of the family's 1533-position model. The record is from RNAcentral.